CUUUAUCUCUCGCUCUUCUUCCUUAUUAAGUCUAACCUAACUGCGCCUCUCUCUUUCUUCUUCUUCCUCUUCUUCUCUUAUACUCGAUUAUGAGCGAAUAUUUGGCAGAUUUUCCCCAAAAGUAGUUUCUUUAUUUCAUUUGUUUGUUUUCCAAUCGUAUUAUUCAGUCAUACAAAAAUUGAAGAGAGAAUUGUUGAGUUAUCUUCCUCUUCAGAGUUUAUAUGACUGAAUUUUACCAAAACCUAACCCCGAAUUCCUCAAAUCACACACACAAUUGUGCCUGUUUUAUUAUCUUCUCAACCCAUAGUUGUUCAGAUUUAGCCGUAUAAGGAACCCAAUUUUAAUUUUACCAUCUGAAACCCUACUUUCAUUUUGAUAUUUCCUUAUUAAAGUAGAAGGUGUUUAUUGGUAAUUGAUGGUGUCAUGACUCUUACAAGGUUUCAUUUGGUAUUAGCAUUAUCGAUACCUUGAUUUAGGUAUAAUGGCUGUUUAUGGAAGUGGAUGGUCUAGGACUCUAGUGCUCAUGCAACUUUCUAUUUGUGGUGUGGUGGUGUUUCUGGUACAACAGGUAUUAGCGGACCCGGUCUUGUUAUACAUUUAUCUCAUGUCAUCAUUUCUGUUCUGAUGCAUCCUGAAAAUCCUGCGGAGCUUGGUGGGAAGAUGAUGUCUAUGGCUCUCUCAGGAAACUGGUCCCUGAUGGAGUCAACAGAGUAACAUGAGCGAUGGUCCGGAGGCUGCUAUGUAAUCGAAUCAGUUGAAGCUGGCUCCGAUCAGAAAUGACGUGACUUGAAUCACUUCCUGGAGGACUACCGGUGCAGAUGUUGUAUGAGUAUUUUCUUGAGGUGUUGGCUUCCUUGUUGGCUGCUUAAUGCUCCAUUUAUGUGGCUAUGCUUUCUACAGUGAUAUGCGCAACAGGAAAUGAGAAGUUUAACAACUAUUGGGAAGCAGAACUAUCCCAAGAGAAUGUUCAGGAAUCUGCACCAUGGACAAGGUAUGAGAUUUCCCAAUUGUCGGCAGGUGAACUUGCACACACAUUGCAUACAUAUGUGAGAACCACAUAGAAAUGUGAUGUCAAUGAGAUAUAUACAAGUUUUGAAAUGUGGAUGACACAUAGACAUAAGUGUUGUGCAUAUGUGUUUGUUACAUAAAAACCGGAUACUGGGAUCCAGCAGCACCCAUUUGGUCUUUGCUUUCUGAGUUACAAGUGUUGAUAGAGCAAAGUUGCAAAAUAAUGAAGAUUAUGAUUGCGUGAUUGAUGGAUGUAAGUGCGAUGUUAUGCGAGAGAGAUGGAGUACUUGGAGAUGUUUCAAGUGAUAACAUGAUUAAGUGGUCAAAAGCUUAUGUAACUCGAAGAGCGGCCAAAUUAGAGUGGCAGGGCAACAGUAGACUGAAUUCAGCCUUAAUGUUCGAUAUGUAAGGUAUUAGAGUGGCAGGGUGACGGUAGACUGAACUCGGUUUUAAAGUUCGAUAUGUAAGGUUGCUAGUAUUUAUCUUUCCAUUUGUAUCCAGAGAUUCAAUUUCUUUGAAAAAAAUGAUUAAUAAAGUUAAUUUUAGAUUCA
Long non-coding RNA from Papaver somniferum (opium poppy), 1559 nucleotides. RefSeq lists it as uncharacterized. NCBI's taxonomy places the organism in Eukaryota, Viridiplantae, Streptophyta, Magnoliopsida, Ranunculales, Papaveraceae. The record is from RefSeq and is a predicted model, not a curated record. The transcript is spliced from 7 exons.